AUCAUGGACACAGAGGACAAGACUGAAUUACAGGACCAUGAGGACUCGGCAGUUUUAUCAAUAAACCAAUGUAAACAUAACCUGACUAUGAGCUUCGCGAGUUAACAUUAGGGCCUGUAUCAGUGUAUGAAAACUGCCUGGCAAGAUUAAAAGCUUGGAAUGGAGAAUUGGGCAUCAACUUUCAUCACCAAUUUAACAGUGUUUUUAAUGAGGUAUGAGACAGAAAAAGAGGGCAAAGAAACAUGUAAACCAGUAUAAAGUUGGGAAGGCCUACCAGUACUUCCAGAGCCAGUGACUGUCACUGAAAGAAGUGUUUUAUCACCCUAUUGACAGAACCAGUCCAUAUUGCUUUCAGUGUGCCGCAUUUACCCCUCACAGAGCCUGUGUUCUGAGCCUCAUACAGUGUUUGGACAAACAUGUACCAAUCAUGUUGCAGGAUUAAGGAUAGUGAGGAGGACAACCUUUAAGCAACCUUUUCAGAUGCAUUUAGAGAAACCUUACCCGAUGCUUGUUUAUUUAAAGGUCUAGAUAUUGAUCCACCUCACCAAGCCAAGGGGAAGGAACCACAUGCUUCUGGAGCAGUUAUGAUUGAGGAGGAUUGCUUACAGAACGACGUCCAACAAUACUACAUGAAAUCUAUGUUGUCAUCAUUUGAACAAUCUGACACUAGCAUCAAGAUCCAUCCCUUUAC
Molecule: long non-coding RNA, 691 nt
Organism: Saccostrea cuccullata (small rock oyster)
Lineage: Eukaryota; Metazoa; Mollusca; Bivalvia; Ostreida; Ostreidae
Exons: 4
Source: RefSeq, a predicted model, not a curated record